Molecule: ribosomal RNA, 376 nt
Filed under: uncultured bacterium
Lineage: Bacteria
Description: bacterial SSU rRNA
Rfam family: Bacterial small subunit ribosomal RNA
Source: RNAcentral
UAUCGGACAAUGGGCGAAAGCCUGAUCCAGCAAUGCCGCGUGAGUGAUGAAGGCCCUAGGGUUGUAAAGCUCUUUUACCCGGGAAGAUAAUGACUGUACCGGGAGAAUAAGCCCCGGCUAACUCCGUGCCAGCAGCCGCGGUAAUACGGAGGGGGCUAGCGUUGUUCGGAAUUACUGGGCGUAAAGCGCACGUAGGCGGCUUUGUAAGUCAGAGGUGAAAGCCUGGAGCUCAACUCCAGAACUGCCUUUGAGACUGCGUCGCUUGAAUCCAGGAGAGGUCAGUGGAAUUCCGAGUGUAGAGGUGAAAUUCGUAGAUAUUCGGAAGAACACCAGUGGCGAAGGCGGCUGACUGGACUGGUAUGACGCUGAGUGCGAA